GGACAGAGAAAGGAAUUAAGUCGAUUACAUCGACCUCAGUGCGAAACUGGUACUUUUAUUUAUCGACCCCGAAAGGAUGAAAGGCAAAGUCGACCUCGGCGGAAUUUGAACUCAGAACGUAACGACAGACGAAAUACCGCUAAGCAUUCCGCCCGGCGCGCUAACGUUUCUGCCACGUUCAACUUGUACAAUACAAAGUUAACUUUGUUUUGACUCCCACUAGUAUCUCUUCCACUUUACUUACAUCACCAUCCUCAUAGAGUAACUACUGGACAUCGUACAAAUUCAACUAUGCACCACUGAUAGUGAUAAUGGCUUUGAGCCUCAACAUGGUCGUUCGCCGUGUUAGAAAUAGCAGUAAAAUAACCCUCCAGUCACAUCCUAUUGUCUUAAGGGAGAGAGAGAAAAAAAAAAGGAUACAUCGGAUAAUUUAGACAUAAUGUAACUAAAAAUAAAGAUCUAGUUAUGGCUGGAAUGUCUUUCAUCAUAGAUCGGGACUGAACUGACUUUAAACAACACUAACAGGAGAUGAAUCUGAUGUCCGAAAAAAAAAAACUCCGACUGUCCGUUAGCUGGAAAGGUAAGUCGUCCUUAGCAUCGAAGUUUUGUAUUCAACUUCAAGAAAAUUAGCAUGUCCUUCAUUUUGAUAAUUGUUAUUCAAUAUUUGAGGAUAAUGUUUUAAUCCAAGAUUAUAUUUACCAUUGCUAAAUUUGGAAUAACCGCUUCAGAUAGUAAAUAACACCGAGGCACAACGUUCAUUCAUCUGUGUAAAGGAAGUUGUCAAGUUACACGCACACAGCUUUAUUUAUUUGUUAUUUGUAAUGUUUUUUUUCUUCUUCUGUGUACGCAGAUGCACGAAAGCAUCUAUUCAUUUUUACUUCUAAGCAAUAUAUAUACAUACAUACAUACAUACAUACAUACAUACAUAUAUAUAUACACAUACAUAUAUAUAUACAUACAUAUAUACAUACAUAUAGAUAUAUAUACAUACAUAUAUAUAUACAUACAUAUAUAUAUACAUACAUAUAUAUAUAUAUACAUACAUAUGCAUAUAUACAUACAUAUAUAUAUGUACAUACAUAUGCAUAUAUACAUACAUAUAUAUACGUACAUACAUAUAUAUACGUACAUACAUAUACAUACAUAUAUAUAUAUAUAUACAUAUAUAUAUACAUACAUAUAUAUAUACAUACAUAUGCAUAUAUAUAUAUAUAUACAUAUGCAUAUAUAUAUACAUAUAUAUAAAUACAUACGUAUGCAUAUAUACAUACAUAUGCAUAUAUACAUAUAUAUAUGUACAUACAUAUAUAUACAUACAUACAUAUACAUACAUACAUAUACAUACAUAUAUAUAUACAUACAUAUAUAUAUGUAUAUAUACAUACAUAUGCAUAUAUACAUACAUAUGCAUAUAUAUAUAUACAUAUAUAUAUGUAUAUACAUAUACACACACGCACGCACAUGCUCGUAUACACUUUGAUGUAUGUACAUCUGAGUAUAUGUGUAAGAUUCGUUUUGGUGUAAUCCACUGCCCCUCAUAAUUAAAGCAGUUAAACUCAAGGUGGGCCUUGAUGCAUGACUAGCGACAUCCUGUUAUAAGUCAAUUGAAAUUUGGUUUACAUUACUUGAUUAACUACGUAAUAUGCAUUGAAUGAGAAAUUUCACAUAUUCUGUAAUAUCGCUCAUUAUGUAUUUCCCUAAGAGGCUCGAGGAAAUAUGUAAAUGAAGUAGUUCACAGCAACCUAAUGGGUUUAAUAAACACAAGCAGAAGAGAAACAAGAUUGAGUCAUACGUGCAGUGAGACAUUAACGAAUCUAUAGUCGCUUGACGGGCAAGAAAUGACAUUCAAGAUUCUCUCAUAUUUACUCAUUAUCGUCUUAAAGAUGUAUAAUAUCCACUGUGAAGUCCCUGAAAUGCAAAAAGGAUACGAGGGCCACCACUAUACCCCGUUAGUUGCAUAUUCUAGAGGCUUGCUGACUUGAACUACACAACAACAAUAAAAGUCUUCAGUAAAUCUAUGAAUAAUGAUAAUAUCAACUCAUAUUUAACCCUGUUUUCAAUAAAGCAUUUACUUCUGUCAAACGUCGGACAAAAUGAGCGGCAUUUCUUCCAGAUCUUUACGUAAUAAGUUCAAUUCCCACCGAGGACAACUUUGUCUGUCUUCCUUACGGGACCGAUAAAAUAAAACACCAGUCAAGUAGUGAGGUGGAUAAUGUUGACUGUCCCACCACAAACAAGCACACACACACACACAAAUACAUACACACACACACACGCACGCACUGGCUUUGUGCUAAAAUUAGAAAGAAUUUAUUUCUAAUCACUUUUUGAAAGAUCAUUUUUACGUCCGCUUUCCAUGCUGGUAUGGGUUGGACGAAUCAUCACCUUCAGAGUCAAUCCUUAUUCUUUGUAAUUUUCAAAUGACUUAAUAUAUGUAUACCCGAAAGGAAAGGAGAAUAUAUAUUAAGGCUUGUAUACACACACACACUCUCUCUCUAUCUCUCUUUCUGUCUUACACACACAUAUAGCGUGUGUGUGUGUGUGUGUUUGCUUCAGUGUGCACACGUACAUAGGGUGAGUGAAAAACUAAUUAACUCAUAAAUUAAAUUUGUGACCAAACAGAAUCGGAUUAUCCAUGAGAAUAUAACUGAACGAUAGCUUCUCUUUUUCAUUAAAAGUAUGUUGCCAAGAGGUUACAAAGUUGGACAGAUCAAGUGUUUGUAUCUUAUAUUAAGUAAAGGCCUAGAUUAAAACAUAUAACCAAGACAACAAAUUUUAUCUAGCAAAAAUGCAUUUCGCCAGGGAUAUUAACAAGCCAAUUGAAGCUGAAGACAUUCAAUCGGAAAUCAAAACAAAAUUGCAGAUUUUAUUCAGAGACACUCAUCUCUCUCUCUCCACACGCACGCACGCACGCACACACACACACACACACACACACACACACACACACACACACACACACACACACACACACACACACACACACACACACACACACACAUAUAGAUAGAUAGAUAGAUAGAUAGAUAGAUAGAUAGAUAGAUAGAUAGAUAGAUAGAUAGAUAGAUAGAUAGAUAGACACACACAUAUAUACAUUGUCUGUGUGUGUGUUCUUGAUUUGGCAGUUCUGCACAGGAGCACUAACUCUGAAGUGUUGACAAGUGGGACUGUCCGAGAUGCGUGCAAAGUGACAAACCCACCCUGUAUGCACUCGGUGCACUGUCCGAGCAUUGCAGAUUGUGGAGUUAUGAAUAGCUGUUGUUACGUGUAGGGCGAAUCCGGCUGUCCUCGUCUCUGUUGCGAAGCUCGACUCCUAACCCACCUUUAUCGAGGCGGGACAAAUGAUGGUCCUCUAUUUAGUGGCAAUAGCAAAAGAGGUCGUGUGUGGACGAGGUGUUGAAAGCAUUGAGGGCAGGCACUUUCCUCUCUGGUCAAACUUCAUCGACUUUUUCAAGUUCCACUUCCAAAGAAAAGUGAGGAUGGAGAGGGAAGCGCUCGCCUGCAGCGAAUUUGUUAAAACGUGUCUCGUAAAAAUAGUUCGGGUGAAUGGACCUACCCUGAGCAUAUACCUGUGGAAUGAAGAACAUCAGUCAUGCAAGGGCUUGUGCUCUUGGUGGUCAGGGUGAUCCUGGAUCUGUCCGGUUCCUUUGUUGGCUCUAACUAGAGGUUCCCCUGUGUCAGGAGGAUUGCCUCAUAGAUGUGUUUACGCAUUUUGUAAACAAUGUAUACGUUUUAUCCAGUCUUUUCCCACUUCCUCUCCUUCUCUCUUACUUGUUUCAGUCAUUUGACUGUGGCCAUGCUGGAGCACCGCCUUUAGUCGACCCCAAGACUUGUUCUUUGUAAGCCUAGUACUUAUUCUAUCGGUCUCCUUUGCUGAACCGCUAAGCUACGAGGACGUAAACACACCAUCGGUUGUCGAGACCCCAAGCCUUAUUCUUUGUAAGCUUAGUACUUAUUCUAUCGGUGUCUUUUGCCGAACCGCUAAGUUGCGGGGACGUAACUUAGCAUGUUGUCAAGCGAUGUUGGGCGGACAAACACAAACACACAAACAUAUACACGCACAUACAUAUAUAUAUAUAUAUACGACGGGCUUCAUUCAGUUUCCGUCUACCAAAUCCACUCACAAGGCUUUGGUCGGCCCAAGGCUAUAGUAGAGGACACUUGCCCAAGGUGCCACGCACUGGAACUGAACGCAGAACCAUGUGGUCCGUAAGCAAGCUACUUACCACACAGCCACUCCUACACCUUCACUCAUGUUUUAUGUAAACCACAACACUAACUGUAAACUAGUCUUGUAAUAUCGCCCUCACCUGAUGCCCCCCCGUAGCAAAUAAAUCAUCAUCAUCUUCAUCAUUAUCAUUUAUAUACUCAAUAAGCACCCCAUAAUAAAAAGAAGAGAUCAGGCCUUGUGUUUAUAGUAGAGAGAAUUAUUAUUCACAAGAAUUCUUUUAAGGUGCAGCAUUCUGUCUCUCUUCGUAUUCUGAGUUCUAAUUCUACCGAGGUUGAUUUUACCUUUCAUCCCUUUUUUUUGUGGAGCGUGGGGGGUGGUGGGGGUGGUGAUAAAUUAAGUACCAGUGAAAUACUGGGGUCGAGGUAACUGACUAGCCACGUCCUCCAAAUUUCAGUUCUUGUGCCUAUAAUAUAAAGGAUUAUAAUAAUAAUAAUAAUUAUUAUUAUUAUUAUUAUUAUUAUUAUUAUUAUUAUUAUUAUUAUUAUCAUUGAGUGAGAGAGCAGUGCAUGCCAUCAAAGUGACACUAGGGUAAAGUAUAUAUUUCUUUAUUGCCCAUAAGGGGCCAAACACAGAGAGGACAAACAAGGACAGACAAAAGGGAUUAAGUCGAUUACAUCGACCCCAGUGCGAAACUGGUACUUUUAUUUAUCGACCCCGAAAGGAUGAAAGGCAAAGUCGAUCUCGGCAGAAUUUGAACUCAGAACAUAACGACAGACGAAAUACCGCUAAGCAUUCCGCCCGGCGCUCUAACGUGUCUCAGUAUACUCAUCAUGACUACCUGUCUGAUAAGGGUACACCAGGUACAUGCGUCACAACCAUAUGUACACGACAUCGUGAUAUCAAGAUAAACAGCGCAUGACCUUGCAGGUGGGGCCCAGUUAGAAUCUUCUUCUUCUUCUUCUUCUUCUUCUUCUUCGUAGUAGUAGUAGUAGUAGUAGUAGUAGUAGUAGUAAGGCAGGAUUGGUAGAAUUAUCAGAGUAUCAGACGAUAAUGCUUUAUGGUGCCUGUUCCAGCUCUUUACAUUCUGAGUUCACAUCCAUGCCAAAGUUAACUUUGCAUUUCAUCCCUCUGGGCUCAAUAAAACAAAAUACCAGUCUGGUAUUGGAGUUGAUGGCAUUGAAUAAACACCCUCCCUUCAAAAUCGCUGGCUUUGUGUCUAAAAUCAGAAACCAUGAUUAUCAUUCUUAAUGUUUCCCCUAUUUAACCACAAAAGCUGAUAAAAGAUCGACAACAGAACCAGACAGCAUUUUGCAAAAUUACAUAAAGUUCAUAUAAAGGAAGAGAAAAAUGGUAAACACAAAGGAAAAAGUCCCCAAAUGCAUGGAGAUCACCAAGGCCCACUCAAGGAAACACCACCACAAAACAACAAUAAUCUGAUCACCAACACAAGUGCCCUCUCCCAGUUGACCUCCAGUCAACAGGUACACACUCAGAGCAGGCCUGUUUGCUCUGGCCAUGCUCACUACUCUCAUUCAGCUGUCAUCAAAUUUGCUGAGAAGCAGUACUUCUGUCUUUGCCCUUAUUUUCCUUUUUCAAAUGAAACUUGAAAAUAUAGAGGAAGGCAUAGACAAAGAUGAUGUUGGUCUAUCACUCUUUCCAAUCUCAUCCAUUGUGCAACUUCUUUUACGUAACCCGCCAGGCAGAUACCCUCAGGCCGACCAAAACCUUGUGAGUGGAUAUGGUAGACGGAAAUUGAAAGAAGCCUGUCAUAUAUAUAUAUAUAGAUAUAUGUGUUAAUAUAUAGAUAUAUAGAUAUAUAUGAUAAUAAUAAUAAUAAUAAAUAUGCAUUACACAGCAUGUAUUAGAAACAUAAGAUAAUUUACAGUAAAUAAGUGUGUGUGUGUGUAUAUGUAUGCAUGUAUAUAUAUGUAUAUAUAUAUAUAUGUAUAUAUAUGUAUAUAUAUAUAUAUAUAUACAUAAGUAUAUAUAUAUAUAUGUGUGUGUGCGUGUGUGUAUAUAUGUACAUAUAUAUAUACAUAUAUAUAUAUAUGUACAUAUAUAUGUAUAUAUAUAUAUAUGUGCAUAUAUGUAUAUAUAUAUAUAUGUGCAUAUAUGUAUAUAUAUAUAUGCAUAUAUGUAUCUAUAUAUGUAUCUCUCUCUCUCCAUAUAUAUAUAUAUAUAUAGAUGUAUAUAUAAUAAUAUUAGGGAGUAUAACUCCAAACUUACAGGGAAAAGUUGCAUAAUAGUGGUUUUAUCUGUAAUUUAUAUUUAUAUAUGUAUAGAUAUAUAUGUAUGUGUGUGUAUAUGUGUGUGUGUAUAUAUAUGUGUGUAUAUAUGUGUGUAUGUGUGUGUAUAUAUAUAUGUAUAUAUAUAUAUAUAUAUAUAUAUAUAUAUAUAUAUACAUAUGUGUAUAUAUAUGUAUAUAUAUAUAUAUACUAUAUAUAUAUAUAUAUAUAUAUAUAUAUAUAUAUAUAUAUGAAAUAUAUAUAUAUAUAUAUAUAUAUAUAUUAGCUGAGAUGUUAAACGUUUUUGAUUUUCAUUCCUUUCAUGAAUUUAUCCCUUUUCUGUGUCUAGCACAACGCUUCCUUAUUUGGAAGCCUUUUAAUGUAUUUCUAUAUGAAUAAUAUAUAGUCUAAUGACCAAUUCGUCUUUUGUGCUGGGUCACUGGUAAUAAUAAUUUAUUUUUCAUCACCCAAUUUACUAUGUUUAUAUAUAUAGGCGCAGGAGUGGCUGUGUGGUAAGUAGCUUGCUUACCAACCUCGUGGUUCCAGGUUCAGUCCCACUGCAUGGCACCUUGGGCAAGUGUCUUCCACUAUAGCUUCGGGCCGACCAAAGCCUUGUGAGUGGAUUUGGUAGACGGAAACUGAAAGAAGCCCGUCGUAUAUAUAUAUAUAUAUAUAUAUAUAUAUAUGCAUGUGUGUGUUUGUGUGUCUGUGUUUGCCCCCUAGCAUUGCUUGACAACCGAUGCUGGUGUGUUUAUGUCUCCGUCACUUAGUGGUUCGGCAAAAGAGACCGAUAGAAUAAAUACUGGGCUUACAAAGAAUAAGUCCCGGGGUCGAGUUGCUCUACUAAAGGCGGUGCUCCAGCAUGGCCGCAAUCAAAUGACUGAAACAAGUAAAAGAGUAAAAGAGUAUAUAUAUAAAAUUAUCAACCAUCGCACAAACAAUAACUCUGAGCACCUCUUCAAACUCCACCCAUCUAACACCCGUGGACAUAUUUACAAAGUCAGAAAACAGCACAGCUCCCAUGACUUCAGGAAACAUUUUUUCACGCUGAGAGUUGCUGAAGCAUGGAACAAACUGCCGGCAUCGGUUGUUAGUUGUCGGAGCACUGAAUCCUUCAAAACUUCCAUGCUUCCUGAGAUUUGCCAACACUAUACCUGAUUUUCUCCCAUCCAUACACACACAAGCAUGUAUCUGACUCAUACACUGUUCACUUCCCAGACAUUUGUACAUUACUGCAUGUACUUUAUAUGCACUUUCUGACAAGUUGUGGUGCACCUGAACACCGUAUACAAUAAUUUCAUUAUUAUAAGCAACAGAGUGACUCAAAUGCUGAUAGUUUCAUAUGUGGGCAAUUAUCAAACUAUACCCGUAUCUUAAGGUCUGUUUUUCCUGUUUGCAUCACCAUAUAUAUAUAUAUAUGUUAUGAAAUGAAAUAAAUGACAAGUGAACAGGAAAUUUGUAAUGAACUUCAUUUCCUUGCUGCUGUUUCUGCUAUAAACUACAGUAGACUCAGAGCUGAGUGUGUGUGGGUCACCUUAUAGUUUCCUUGGAGCUUUGAUUAUGAAAUAUAAGUUUACCUUGGAAAACACACACAUACACACACACAAACACACACACACACACAUAUACACAUAUAUAUAUAAUAAAUAUAUAAAUAAAUAUAUAUAUACAUAUAUAUGCAUAUAUAUAUAUAUAUGUAGUAUAGUCCUCCUCGGUAGUAUAGUGGUUAGUAUGCCUGGCUGUCACGUGGGAGACCGGGACUCAAUUCCCCGCUGAGCAGGCAUAUUAUUUUAAAUGGUGGUGCCCCAGCAUGGCCACAGUUCAUGAGCUGAAACUAGAUGAAAUAUAUAUAUAAUAAAUAAAUAAAUAUAUAAAUGCAUAUAUAUAAUAAAUAAAUAAAUAAUUAAAUAUGUAUAUAUAUAUAUAUAUAUAUAUAUAUACACACACACACCAAGAGAGAGAAAGAGGUUGAGAUAUCUGAAUACACCUUUCUGUUAUCCAACUGUAGGGUUCAAAUAUCUGGUGAAAGGCCAGUAGAAGAAUAUUUAUCAUGUCCUGAAGUAAAGAGAUUUUUGAUGCCAUGGCACCCUACUACAAUGAGGCCCAGGUGACCGUUGGUUUUAAGAAUAGGAUUAGUCAAACAUUAAAAUCUAACCCCAUAAAAGUAAAAAUACCACUGGAAAGUCUUGUGGCUCACAGACCCCUCCUUCCGUAAUCUAAAAUCUUAGGUAGGUAAAGUUAGUUUUACUUUGAUAGACAAACACUUUCCCCAUUUGAGGAGUGGCUGUGUGGUAAGUAGCUUGUUUGCAAACCACAUGGUUCCGGGUACCGGGUUCAGUUCCACUGUGUGGCACCUUGGGCAAGUGUCUUCUACUAUACCCUCAGGCCGACCAAAACCUUGUGAGUGGAUAUGGUAGACAGAAAUUGAAAGAAGCCUGUCGUAUAUAUAUAUAUAUAUAUAUAUAUAUAGAUAGAUAUAGAUAUAUGUGUGUGUGUCUGUGUUUGUCCCCCCAACAUUGCUUGACAACCGAUGCUGGUGUGUUCACGUCCCCAUAACUUAGUGGUUCGACAAAAGAGACUGAUAAAAUAAGUACUAGGCUUACAAAGAAUAAGUUCUGGGGUCGAUUUGCUUGAUUAAAAGGUGAUGCUCCAGCAUGACCACAGUCAAAUGACCGAAGCAAGUAAAAGAGUAAAAGAGAUACAGUUUAAGAGUUUCUUUUAGCUGUAUACCUAAUAUACAGAAAAUAUCAGCUGGUAGCUCCACAGCUGAGACAAAGGUAGGGUCCUCAUGCAAGGACAAUUACACAUAUCCUGUUAAUGACCAAUGAAACACAGAGACCAUCAUAUAUGAGGCAUAGGACACAGCAAACGGACAAACUUGCAGAUGUCUGUGGGCACAACAGAAGGUCAAAUCUAAUAACCAUAAAUUCACCCUUUUAAUCCAAGAGAGACAGCCUCACUAGGUAUGUAUGUUCAUUGAAAGAAAGUGUCAUUGAUGACACCCAGGUGUUUUUGGGCAAGGAACAUAACUCUUGGUGGGUACCCCUCUGAUCAUCUCCCACGGGUUUGUUUUGUCUUUUUCACACUACUCACAUUCUGAAUAUGACACUUGCUGACAGAAAGCCAUUGCAACGUUUCCUCAUACUGGCCAGUCUGAUGAGCAUAAUUACCUAAUUUCUGUGUGAAACUGAUUGGUAAGUUUGGUUGAAAUCAUCAUCAUCAUCAUCAUCAUCGUUUAACGUCCGCUUUCCAUGCUAGCAUGGGUUGGACGAAUGACUGAGGGCUGGCGAACCAGAUGGCUGCACCAGGCUUCAAUCUUGAUCUGGCAGGGUUUCUACAGCUGGAUGCCCUUCCUAACGCCAACCACUCCAAGAGUGAAAUGCAUAUACUAUAUAGCUUAAUGUGUGUGUGUGUGUGUGUGUGUGUGUGUGUGUGUGUGUGUGUGUGCGUGUGUGUGUGUGUGUGUGUGUGCACAUAUACACAUACAUGCAGCUUGGUUCCAAAACAGUUGUUAUACUCUAGAAAGAACAUGCAGAUUUAACAACUAAAAGGUUAUUAUUUUAAAUUAACUGUACUUUACUAGCUUUGAAGUACCUGAAAACCAUGCUUUUUUUAUUUAGGUGUAUCGUUUAUAUAUAAUAAUAAUAAUGAAAUUAUUGUAUACAGUGCUCAGGUGCACCACAACUUGUCAGAAAGUGUAUAUAAAGUACAUGCAGUAAUGUAAAAAUGUCUGGAAAGCGAACAAUGUAUGAGUCAGAUACAUGCUUGUGUGUGUAUGGAGGGGAGAAAAUCAGGUGUAGUGUUAACAUACAGAAUAAAUGUUCUGGUGAAGCAGAAUUAGGGUUUGCAAGAAAUAUUACAUUACACCCUUAGCAAUCAGUUUGCUCUCUCAAAUGUGAUGCUUAUUUAUUCACAUUGUUUUGAAUUAGUCAUAUAUUAAUCUUGUUGCUUUGAGAUUUCAAUAAUGUGAUUAUUUUUAGAAUGACAUUGUAGGAUAGGUGUGAGAGGCUGGAUCUGGCUGGUUUGAACAAAUAUUUGCACUGAAUAUGGUCAGUUUAAAUGCUAAAGGGUUAAACAGCAUACAGCAUGUGAAUUACUAAAUUCUACAUAAAAAGAUAGUUUCAGUUUUGCUUUUAAACAGUUUGGGUGUUAUCACACUUGAAGAAAAUAUAAGGAGUGACAUUUUGUUCUAGGUUUUUCAAUUUGUAACUUAUCUUGCUUUUUAAUUGCUACCCCUGAUUUUAAGAGACCCACCAAUCAUUGACUUCCGUGUACUGAAAAAAAGGAAAAAUUUUCCCAAUCAUAAAUCAAUUUAUAAAGAAUCUAAAAAAGGGAAAAUGUUCAGUCUACAAUCUUAGAUGAUUUCUUAAACAGCUUUCAAAUUUCUAUCAUUCUUCUUUUAAGCCACUCUUUCAAAGAGACAAUAUUGCUCAUGUAUGAAGGCAGCGAGCUGUCAGAAAUGUUAGCAUACCGGGUGAAAUGCUUGGCGGUAUUUCAUCUAUCUUUACUUUCUGAAUUCAAAUUCCGCCGAGGUUAACUUUGCCUUUCAUCCUUUUGAAGUCGAUAAAUUAAGUAUCAAUUGCGUAUUGGGGUUGAUCUAAUUGACUGGCCCCCUCCCUCAAAAUUUCGGGCCUUGUGCCUAGAGUAGUAAUUAAUAUUGCUCAUGUAUUGAUUGCUCCUUCUAUACUCUGCAUUAUACUGUUGACUCGUCUUAAAUGCUCCAAACCAAUUAUGCCACCCAUUUAGUCUUAUAAUCAACGGUUUGUUUGGGAUUUUUUUUAUUGCUUAGUCAGUGGAGAGGGUGUAAAGAGUAGUGUCCAUGAUCCUUUACAGGGCCUCCAAGACUGAUGGGAUAGGGGGAGGUACCCACACCAGAGACCAGGACCAAAUAUACUUGUAACAACAUCAUCAUCAUCAUUUAACGUCCGCUUUCCAUGCUAGCAUGGGUUGGACGGUUCAACUGGGGUCUGGGGAGCCCGAAAGCUGCACCAGUCCAGUCAGAUCUGGCAGUGUUUCUACAGCUGGAUGCCCUUCCUAACGCCAACCACUCCGAGAGUGUAGUGGGUGAUUUUAUGUGCCACCGACACAGGUGCCAGACGAGGCUGGCAAACGGCCACGCUCGGAUGGUGUUUUUUAUGUGCCACCGACACAGGUGCCAGACGAGGCUGGCAGACGGCCACGCUCGGAUGGUGUUUUUAUGUGCCACCGACACAGGUGCCAGACGAGGCUGGCAGACGGCCAUGCUCGGAUGGUGUUUUUAUGUGCCACCGACACAGGUGCCAGAUGAGGCUGGCAAACGGCCACGAUCAGAUGGUGCUUGUUACGUGCCCACAGCACGGAGGCCAGUCGAUGCGGUACUGGCUACGGCCACGUUCGGAUGGUUUUCUUGUGUGCCACGUGCCACCGGCACUGGUACCACAAAGAUACAAAUUCCAUUGAUGUUCAUCUAUUUUGAUUUGUUUUGAUUUUCACUUGCCUCAACAGGUCUUCACAAGUGUCACAAGAAGGAAGGUAUGCACAGGUGGACUGACUACGUCCCAGGUAGGGGCCAUGGGUUAUGGCCUGACUAGUCUUGCCGGGUCUUCGGAUGGUGUUUUUAUGUGCCACCGACACAGGUGCUAGAUGAGGCUGGCGAACGGCCACGAUCGGAUGGUGUUUGUCAUGUGCCCACCGCACUGACUACAGCACUGAUGGAUUUCUUGUGUGCCACAGGCACUGGUACCACAAGAUACAAAUUCCAUUGAUGUUCAUCUAUUUUGUCUAUUUUGAUUUGAUUUGAUUUGAGGGCCCUGGCAGUGGUAUUUGCAGGAAGCAUUUGGAGAUAAUGAAGACUUUUUGUUUCUUUUAUUAAUAUGGUGACAGGGGAUGGAAUGUGGGCAUGUGUUAUGAUCCGAAAACAAAGACUCUUCUCCAAGACCUAAGGUGUUCAAGAACCAGCAAUUGGCACUUGCAACAGCAUGAACUGUGCUAAAUAUACUCAUGGCCUGGCAGUGGCAUUAGCUGGAAACAUUUUUUUUUCUUUCUUUAAUUUGGUAGUAAGGGAUGGAAUGUGAUCUAAAAACAAGGAAAACUCUUCUCCAAGAUCUAAGAAGUUCAAGGACCAACAACUGGUGCAGAAAGUCACAGUGAUUAUUUUUCUUUUUCUUCUUUUUUUUUUACAAUGUGGGGUGGAUAACAAGGGUGUCAUUCUCCUUGAUUUUCUGGAACAUGGCUAUACCAUGAACAGCAAGCUGUAUACUGAGACACUCAAAAAGCCCGUGAAAGAAAGAAAUUGAACAAUAAUCUGAAAACAAUCCAAAUUCGCAACAAUGCUUGACCACACAUAUCUUAGGCAAAAAAUUUGGCAGUUGGCAAAUUAGAGUGGUCACUGGCCCCCUAUCCACCAUACAGCUUGGAUCUGGUGCCCUCCAGCUUCUGUCUGUUCAGUCCAAUGUCUUCAGAGUCAAUGAUUUGAUAAUGCAGAUGAGGUGAAAGUGACUGUGAAGAAAGGGGGACAACAGUGCACAUUUGAAUAUUUUCAAAGAGAAUUUGAGAAUUGGGUUCAAUGACUGCUUGUAAUGGAAACAAUGGAAAGUAGUAAAUAUGUAUAGAAGAAGAGUUACUCUACCAACAUGCACACUUUGAAUGACCGACGUCGGUAGUGGAGGCACAUGGCCUAGUGGUUAGAGCAGCAGACUCGCGGUCGAGGGAUCACUGGUUCGAAUCUCAGACCAGGUGAUAUGUGUGUUUAUGAGCGAAACACCUAAGCUCCAUGCGGCUCCAGCAGAAGGUAAUGGUGAACUUCUGCUGACUCUUUCGCCACAACUUUCUCUCACUCUUUCCCCCUGCAUUUUGCAGCUCACCUGCAACGUAUACGCCAAGAAACCGGGAAACCGGCCCUUAUGAGCCAGGCAUGGCUCGAGAAGGAACUAACAACAACAGCCAAUGUCAGUUAAUAAAGAAGUUAUGCCCACUUUUGCAUUGUCUUAGAUACAAUCCUUCUUUUAUAUCAAUGUAUGUUUGCAUGCAUGUAAGUGUAAUGUAUAUAAUGUAAACAUGUAUGUACACAUAUAUUUUAUUUAUAGCACAUUAUAAAUUUGCCUCAUAACAGUCAAUGUAUCUUACUGAAUGAUUUCCUGUUGAGGGUCCUUCCAAGUUUGGAAAUGGAAAUUAACAAAUGCUGGACAUGGCUGAAUGGAAGACUACUUUAUUGGACAACUAAAUGCGUAUGUGUGUGUGUGUGUGUGUGUGUGUGUGUGUGUGUGUGUGUGUGUAUGUGUGUGUGUAUGUGUGUGUGUAUGUGUGUGUGUGUGUGUAUGUGUGUGUGUAUUUGUGUGUGUGUAUGUGUGUAUGUGUGUGUAUGUGUGUGUGUGUGUAUGUGUGUGUGUGUGUGUGUGUGUGUGUGUGUGUGUGUGUGUGUGUGUGUGUGUGCGUGUGCGCGUGUAUAUGCCUGUGCCAGUAUGUAUGUUUUGUCAUGUAUAUGAAGAGAUGGCUGUGAAAUGUUUCAAAUAUUUUAUUGAUUAGUAGGAACUAAUUUUAAACUUUGAGAAAUACUUUAAUUUAAUUUAACUAAUUUUUAGUUUCAAAAGUUCAGCUGAUGACAUUUUUGACUCUUCGUUACGAUACAACAUAAUAUACAGUCACUUAUUUAAAGUAUAUGGAAUUAUAUUUGAAUACAAUAGUAUAUAGUAAACAGUGUAGAAAACUAUUUGAAAUUAUUGACUUCUGGAACUUCAAAAUAUUUCCGAAUCAAUAUUCACAUCUAAAUAACCUGUUACUUUAGAUGCCCCCCCCCCUCCAACACUUUGUGAAUACUUAUCCAACUUUAAUAACAGUAUGUGUACUUUAGAUUAUUAAAUGUACAUAAUCAGCCUAAAUUUUGUUAUUGAGCAUCAAUCUUCCAACAUUGAUACAUUUUCAUUUGCCUACGUCCAGCCACACCCCUGGCAGCUUCUGUUCUAACAUGUGAGGUGACAUUGAUUAACUCAGAAUGUGUUUAAUGAAAGCAAUAGUUUUACAGCCAAAUAGCCUUCUUAGUGCCAACCACUCUAACAUAAAGUGGAAACUAGAUGGUUUUCAUUUGAAAUGUCCAUCUUCCUAGAUGUGCUGCAGUUACAUGGAUUAAAAAGCCAUAUCUCUUUCUUUGCUGAUACUAUACAAUAUGAUAUACAUUUAUUGAGCUGCCUCUUAUAUUACUUCCACAGUAUUUCAAAGCCUCAUAUUUCUUUUAUUUCAUGCUGCAGUGCCCAGUGAUUUUAAGUUGCCUACUCUCCUAAGGUUAGUGAUCUUUUUAUUAAGCCUCAAUAGGUGACUUAAUACACUUUUACAGAAUUAAGGAAUUAAAAGUGAAACAUGCUGUAGAGAAAAACUGACAUUGCCAGUUAAUGUUCAGCAUGGCAGCUUUAGUCAAUGCUUGAGCAGAAUAAUGUUGAAAGGGAUCAGAAAUAGAGAUGAUAAAUACAGGAUGAUAAACACAAUAGAGAAAAACACAGUAGAUCAGGCUAUAAAUGUGUUAGAACUUCUCAUGCAUAAAUUUACUGAACUGUAAGUUGGAGAAGGGAAACGAAAGGAGAAGAAAGAAGACAAACUGUGGCUAAAGUGCUCUGCCAAGCCAGAGUGUGUGCUAAGUAAAAAG
Molecule: long non-coding RNA, 15010 nt
Filed under: Octopus vulgaris (common octopus)
Lineage: Eukaryota; Metazoa; Mollusca; Cephalopoda; Octopoda; Octopodidae
Rfam family: tRNA (bases 8105-8176)
Source: RNAcentral